This 425-nucleotide ribosomal RNA is filed under the name uncultured bacterium. RNAcentral's name for it is "bacterial SSU rRNA". It matches the Rfam family "Bacterial small subunit ribosomal RNA", at positions 954 to 1380 of the family's 1533-position model. The record is from RNAcentral.
GCAAAACGCGAAGAACCUUACCAGGUCUUGACAUCCCUCUGACCGUUCUAGAGAUAGGGCUUCCCUUCGGGGCAGAGGAGACAGGUGGUGCAUGGUUGUCGUCAGCUCGUGUCGUGAGAUGUUGGGUUAAGUCCCGCAACGAGCGCAACCCUUGAUCUUAGUUGCCAGCAUUGAGUUGGGCACUCUAGGAUGACUGCCGGUGAUAAACCGGAGGAAGGUGGGGAUGACGUCAAAUCAUCAUGCCCCUUAUGACCUGGGCUACACACGUACUACAAUGGCCGGUACAACGGGCAGCGAAGGAGCGAUCCGGAGCGAAUCCCAAAAAGCCGGUCUCAGUUCGGGUUGCAGGCUGCAACUCGCCUGCAUGAAGUCGGAACUGCUAGUAAUCGCGGAUCAGCAUGCCGCGGUGAAUACGUUCCCGGGUC